AGCCACUCCACAGCCGAGGAGACAGACUCGAUCCAGCGGUGCGUCUUGGUGAAUCUUAGCAACGUUGUAUUCAGGAACGACCGUGUAUUCAGAGAAAGUGCCUAGACCAGAAAACUGAUGCACCUGCUGCCCCCUACAGACAUUAUCACAGCACAGCUUUACAAAAAUCCAGAUCUAAAAUUUGUAGGAAGAAACUUGAGAGGAACCUGGUUCAGAAUAUAGGUUCGUCUUUGAGCUCAAACAGAACUCACAGUCAUCACAGUGAGGCAGGAGGACAGGGAUCACCUUAUCACCUGGAGGGAAGAACAGGAAGAAGAAGAAGAACUGAGCAAAAUGGUACGACAAAUUAAAAGUGUGUGAAAAAAUAUUUGCUCAACCUGUUAUCAUCAAACCAAAUCUCUCUCAUUUCCUUGAGUUUCAGUGUAUAUCACAAACUGUGUACCUUUGAUUUCUCUAUAACCUGAUACAGGUGAGAGAUGAUACUCAGGCUCAGACAGCUGCUAAUUACUGACCAGUCCACAAUAAUUCUUAUGUGUCAGCUAAUUAACCCAAAGACUUCACUACCGGAUCUUUCAGAACAAGAAUCUCCACCUACACACCAAGGAUGCUGUUUACUACGCUGUCUGUAUAUCAGACCUCCUCUACAAUUGGGUUUCUGGAAGCCUGGGUCACACCCUGAAGGGACAUGAGUGCUUCCACGUAUUGUAGGAUCCUGGGGCUCACCUGCUGUGAUCAUGUGCCUCAUACUGACAUACUGCACUUACCAGACCAACUGCAGAAGUAUUGAGGCCACUGGGUAGGUCACAUUAUCAGAACCAACUGCCCCACAGAGUACUUUACAGUCAGGUACAUUGUGUCCAAGGCUCAGCAGGUAUGCAGAAGAACAUGUAUAGAGACCAGGUGAAGCUUUUCAUCUGCUGACUGUAACACUGUAACACUGCUGACUGUGACACCUGGCAGCAGCUCGUCCUUAAUGGGAUUCAAACACUUUAUGAAGAGGACAGGACUAGGAGGAAAUACCAUAAGCAACUGAAGAAGAACACACCAGACUUUACUGCUACCACCACAACCACUUAUAAAUACCCCAUCUGUAAGACAACCUGGGGUUCCAGGAUUAGACUGUUUAGCCAUCUCAGAACCCACCAUUACAGGACAAAAAUGGACAUCAUCAUCAGGUUACAAUGGACAUUAAGCAAGCAUGUGCGUGUAUGUGUGUGUGUGUGUGUUGGGGGGGUUAGUGUACCAGGCUGCACAGCGGUCACCCCCGGCCCGACGCUCUCCACCACACCAGCAGCCUCGUGACCCAGAAUGAGGGGAAACGGCAGAGUCUUCACUCCUUUCUCACAAUCAUACAGAUACGUCCAGUCUGUGUGACACACACCAGUCACUGCUAUCUGCAACACAAACACACACACACACACAGAGCUUUAAUCAGCGAGUGUGUCCAAAAGUCAAGGCUGCAACCAAGAUUUUCUAGAAGAACAGAAGGAACAAACUCCUGUUAGAGCUGAGGAGAAAUACAGACCUUAAUUCUCACUUCAUGCUCUUUAGGUGGAGCAACUUCCACUUCUUCAAUAGAAACAGGCUUCCCAGGUUCCCACGCCACAGCCGCUUUACACCUGAUCACCUAAAAUAACACACACAGAGCAGCACUGUUGAGUAUUAUUAGGUUUACAUGUAAACCACUCAGACAUCAAUGUGGCAGCAAGUUUCUGUAGAACUCGCUCUAUCAAGGAGAGUAAAAUCCUGGAAAUAUGCAGAGGAACCUUCACAUUGUAGGUGAUUUCAAAGAUUUGUAGUAUAGCAAUCUAACGCCGUCCUUGCAGAUGGAUCUACAGCAGCACAAACAGAAUUUUUCAUCUGGUAUGUAUGAACUGGGUAAAAAGCGAAUCAAAUGACUUGAAGAUCAUCUUCUACAUUAUGGAAGAUUCAAAGCUAUCGACUCAAAGCAGCCUAGUCUACUAGUCUACCAAGCAGCCUACUUGGUCUAAUCAGUCAACAUCCUCGAAAUGCUCAAAGGGCUCAAGUGUUAGCCCUGCUGUUGCCAUACACCUUGCUGAAGCUGAAGAAGCCGAAGCUAAAAUUCAAUAUGCAGAGAAGGAAAUGCAGAUAAAGAUGCAAAGUGCAUGUUUGCAUGCAGAGAGGGCAUGUUUAGAGGCAUUAUUAGCAGUGCUAGAUGUUGAAAGGGAAGCCACUCUGGCAGUGGCCGAAGCUGAGGCUCUAUCAACAGCAUUAAGCAGUGACCAAGUAUCAAGCCGUAAAUCCAACGGUCAACACAGACCUGUCACUCAAAGAACUAAAGAGUAUGUACAAGAUCAUUCUAGAUUGCAAGCUAAUGCUCAGCUUGGUCCAUCCACAAUCUAAGGAGAACAACCGAACUGUUUCAAUUUAGUAUGCCACAACUGCCACCAUACGAGAAAGAGACUCUCGAUACAGUCAUAGACUUUGGAUGUUACGAAGUCCCAAAGAAUGUUGUUGACAAUGAAACGCAUAUCCCAGAUAAACAAUCUGAGGAAGCUAUCAGGUAUGCCCCCUACCCAGAUUGAUAUGAUACUAAGCCUUCACAAAGAGUAAAGCUUUCUUCCUCCAUCAAGAACAUUCAGGAUCCUUCCUUUGCUUGUGUAAGACCACCCGAUGAUCUCAGCCACUUACCGGCACAUGCUUACACCCCAACAUGCAGCCACUAGAUGCGGCUAUAAUUGCUCACGAGUGUCUGCAGGUCAAGUCAUGUGCUCCAACUCCACCUCUUCAUGCUCAAUUUUGCAGCAGCACUCCUCGUGCAAACAGUGAUGGGUAUGAAGGUGCAUCUGAUCUUGUUAAAUUCAUGCCAAGAUGAGAAAUUGUUUCCAUGGGUCUUUUUCAAUUUGAUGACUGCCCUGAGAAUUACAGAGCACGGAAAGCAUAAUUCUUCACUGCUACUAAGAAUCUCAAUCUCACAGCUAAAGAGGAGAUGGAUCUCUUGGUCAAGUGGUUAGGAGCAGAUUCUAGUGAGCAAGUGAAGUACAUCAGAGCGGUGCAUGUCAGACAGAGGUCUCUCGAUGAUUUGGGAGUGGUUAGAUGAUUGUUUUGGGGCAUCUGAGGUCAUUGAAAGCCCACUACUCAGGAGAUUAGAGACUUUCCCAAAGAUUUUGAAUAAAGAGUGGAGCUUUUAGUAGCAAAAUCUGAGGGAGUGCUUCUGGGUCUCGCUUGCUUGAACACGGCAUGUGGCAUAGCCGGCAUAGUGUAAAAGCUACCUUUCAGCUUACAAGAUAAGUGGAUGACUCUGGUGUAUACAUUCAAACAACAACACAGAGUUCCCUUUCCCCCCUUUUAUGUACGUGUCAUAGAUCAAGCAGAAUGCGGAAUGAUCCUAGCUUUGCCCUUCCCCUCAAAGCUGAUCAUUCAAAGCCAGAAUAUUCCAUGAGAGCAUCCAUCUCAGUUCAUAAAAUGGAUGUCUCUCCUGAGAGGUCGACAGCUGGUGAAGCUUGAGGAGCUAAGAUGGACUUAGCUAAGUUCUGUCCUCUACAUAAGAAACCACAUCCAAUGUUGUGGGUUUAAAGAGAAAUCCAUUAAAAUUCAGAAAGCCUUUUUGAAGCAGAACGGGACUUGCUUUAAAUGCAUAGCGUCAACAUCACAUUUUGCAAGGAACUGCAAAAAGCUUGUCAAAUGUACCGAACGUGACAGUGAAACACACCACCGAAUGGUCUGCUAAAGCUCACACACUCACUGAAGAUUAUGGCAGAGAGAAGAAAGAUCUGAGUGGUCUUUGAUUCAAGGUGUCUGUACAAUGGUGUUUCGCUUAACAGUGUACUUUUGAAAGGCCCAGAUUUCAACAAUGGACUCCUUGGUGUGCUCUUGCGCUUUAUAAAGGACGCAGUAGCUAUCACUACAGAUAUACAACAGAUGUUCCAUUGUUUACUUCUCAAGCCAGAGGAUAGGAACUUUCUCAGGUUCUACUGGUAUGAAGAUAAUGACCCAAAGAAGAACUUCAUCAAGUAUAGGAUGAAGGUCCACAUCUUCGGUAACAGCCCUUCUCCUGCCGUAGCAAUUUAUGGCCUCAGACAAGCAGCGAAAGAGGCUGAGUCACAGUCCAGAGCAGACGUUUGUAGAAAGGGAUUUCUAUGUGGACGACGGUUUAAGAUCACUACCGUCUGCGGCAGCUGCUAUUGAUCUCCUCAAGAGAACCCAAGCAGCCUUGGCACGUUCCAGUUUGAAGCUUCACAAAAUUACUUCUAACAUCAAGGAGGUCAUGGACAUGUUUCCUUUAGAUGAUCAGGCCAGUAAACUAAGAGACAUGGACCUUGACAAGGUUGCAGUGCCUGUGCAGCAUACCCUUGGUGUUAGGUGGAAUCUUGUAACUGAUACAUUCACAUUUUAGUCAUCAAGUGAUAUGAAACCAUUUACACGAUGUGGUGUCCCCUCUACUGUGAAUGGUCUAUAUGACCACUUUGGGUUUGCAGCUCCAGCUUCAUCCAUGUCAUCCAUGGCAAAGCUCUGAUAACAGAACUCACAACCAAGUCACAUGACUGUAAUCUGCCUUUCCCUUUUGAGAAGAUGGACCUUGGCAACAAUGGAAGGACUCCCUUCAAGAGCUUCAACAUCUUCAGUUCUCUAGACAUUAUAUGAAAGAUUCCCUUUCAGAAGCUUUGCUCAGAGAGCUUUGCAUCUUUUAAGAUGCUUCUGGCCUGGAUAUAGCUGCAGUGGCUUAUCUCAGGAGUUUUAGCCCAGAUAGGAGCUGCAAUUCAAGCUUCAUCUUGGGGAAACCCAAGCUAGCCCCCUGUCCAGAGCUGACCAUGCCACACUUUGAGCUCUGUAGUGCAGUGUUGGCUGUGCAGAUGGCUGACCUUAUAAUGUCUGAGAUGGAUAUCGAGUUUGACAGUGUGGACUUCUUUUCAGACAGCAAAGUAACCCUUAGUGACAUUCAUAAUGAGAAAUGCAGAUUCCAUCUUUUUGCUAAUAACCGUGUUCUAAGAAUAAGAAGAAGCAUGCACCAUCAACAAUGGGACUAUGUGCCAAGCAACUAGAAUCCGGCAGACCAUGUGACUAGAUCCAAACCUGCAGCCCGUCUGAGGGAUAGGACGUGGCUUACCGGUCCACCAUUCUUGUCCUGCCUGAACCAGACAUACCUCACCUCGGGCCCAUUUGACCUCAUUGAUCCUAUGGCAGAUGUCAAAGUUCUACCCGAGGUAACAGCAUUCAUUACCUUAACAAAGGACUACCAGCUAGGCUCAGCACAUUUCAAAUACUUCUCCAAUUGGAAGGUACUUCUUUGGGCUAUUGCAUGUCUAAUACAUAUUGUACAAAACCUACAAAGGAGAACUGGUCAAAGAUGCUGGAAUUUGUAAAAGAUGACAUUGUUGUUCAAUACCAUAUAGUGUAGACGAAUUGAGUCAAGCCAAAAACGGCAUCAUUCGUGCUGUUCAUCAGGAAGCUGUUGCUGAGGAAUCACGGUGCAUCAAGGAUAACAAGAAUAUCUCGAAUAGCAGUCCUCUCUUCACACUGAAUCCCCUCAUAGAUGAGAAUGGACUUAUAAGCGUCGGUGGUCAUAUGUCUCGAGCGAACACUGGAUUCAACGAGAGCAAUCCCAUCAUUAUCCCAUGGCGACAUCACAUUGCAAUAAUAGAUGUAGUAUCUUGUGAUACCUGACAGGGGAGUGUGUUGUCAUAUGUGAUAUUAGAGUAAAAGAUAUGCUGGCCCUUUAAGAGUUGCAGCUUGCUGAUGAUGUUAUCAAUGGUAGACCAGCUUCAGUCUGUUUCCCUGGGAAGUUAUCAGUCCCUUGUUGUGGUUCUUCAAAUCUAAAGCCAUCUGCUACAUUUCUUGACUUUCGGAAGUAUUGUUGUUUUGCCCUACUUCCAGUCAUCCAUUAAAUGAAGUGAAAGUUACAGAGGUGUCCUACAUGACGUUACCUGUGCUGAAGAGUGUUUAUGCUGAAGCGUGUGCUGACGUGUGUUCCUUUGUUACAUACUGUAUUUAUUAUACUAGAACUCUUACAGAAUGUGCUUUCUAUUUUUUGCUGUUUGUCUCAGAGUCAUAAACCCAACACUACCACCUGCUGCACACUCCUGAUAUCCACGAUCACACACUGAAUCUCUGAGAGAACACAAGAACCCGCUCUAGAACAGUUCUUCAUCAAUAAACUACGGAACUCUGUAUAAGUAUAAUGGGUUAAAGACAUAAUCUAGAAGG
Long non-coding RNA from Ictalurus punctatus (channel catfish), 6165 nucleotides. RefSeq lists it as uncharacterized. The transcript has 5 exons. The record is from RefSeq and is a predicted model, not a curated record. NCBI's taxonomy places the organism in Eukaryota, Metazoa, Chordata, Actinopteri, Siluriformes, Ictaluridae.